Molecule: ribosomal RNA, 497 nt
Filed under: uncultured bacterium
Lineage: Bacteria
Description: partial 16S ribosomal RNA
Rfam family: Bacterial small subunit ribosomal RNA
Source: RNAcentral
GAUGAACGCUGGCGGCGUGCCUAAUACAUGCAAGUCGAGCGAACAGACGAGGAGCUUGCUCCUCUGACGUUAGCGGCGGACGGGUGAGUAACACGUGGAUAACCUACCUAUAAGACUGGGAUAACUUCGGGAAACCGGAGCUAAUACCGGAUAAUAUAUUGAACCGCAUGGUUCAAUAGUGAAAGACGGUUUUGCUGUCACUUAUAGAUGGAUCCGCGCCGCAUUAGCUAGUUGGUAAGGUAACGGCUUACCAAGGCAACGAUGCGUAGCCGACCUGAGAGGGGGAUCGGCCACACUGGAACUGAGACACGGUCCAGACUCCUACGGGAGGAAGCAGUAGGGAAUCUUCCGCAAUGGGCGAAAGACUGACGGAGCAACGCCGCGUGAGUGAUGAAGGUCUUCGGAUCGUAAAACUCUGUUAUUAGGGAAGAACAAAUGUGUAAGUAACUAUGCACGUCUUGACGGUACCUAAUCAGAAAGCCACGGCUAACUACGUG